GAGUUUGUAUAUUAAAUGUAAUGGCAGGCAACACUUGACACUUGAUUAGAUUUCGAAUAUUGGAAUUAUUUUAAAUGUUUUAAAAAAAACAGAUCAUUGUAUUCUCGUAAGAAAAUGUCAGUGACUUCUCAUCUAGACACGGCAUGAAAAACAUGUAAUAGUUUUAUAAAAAAUAUAAAGAUAAAAAUUGUAUAAUGGUGUAAAAGUGUUCGAGCAAUCUGCAAUAUAAUUAUAAUGAAGCAGUUGUGUUUUUAAAUAUCCUCUCAUCACCUACAGAACCCAAUCCCUUCAAAUUUAACCGUCCAACAGGUUAUGGGCCCAGAAUUUAUAAGGUAAUAUUUAUUAUAGUUUGCUAAUUAAAAAAAGCCGACAUCACCAUGGAAACCAAACUGUUUGUAAAAAUUUUAAGAAAAUUAUUAUAAGAGCAUGAGAUAAGGUAAUGGAAGGGAGAACACUAACAUAAGUAACAAAUAAAAAUAAUCGUGAAGACGAAGGUAAUGAAGUUCGAAAAGGUGUAAGAGGAAGAAAUGGAGUUAAUGGAGUUCGAGAAGGUGAUAUUUGAGGAUAUAAUAGUAAUGGAGUGUAAUGAAGUUUGAGAAGGUGAAAUAGGAAGAAAUGAAGGUGGAGUUCGAGAAGGUGAUAUUAGAGGAAAUAAUAGUAAUGGAGUGUAAUAAAGUAGAAAUGGCGUAUAGUUCGAGAAUAAUCGAGAAGAUGUUGUUGAAAGGCGAAAUAAUAGAGAAUGAAAUGAAAAUGGAACAAAUGAUAGCAGAUUAACAAAUGAAAAUCUGGUCAUGGAAAACUUUGAGACUUUAAGUGUACUCAUUUAAAAAAAAAAAAAAAAAAGUGAACUUGUGUUUCGGGAUAAAUGGGUUAGUUUAAUAAGUUCUUUGGGAAUUUAAAUGUUGUAUUAUACAACAAUAGAUAUAUGUAACUGAAAGGAGACAAGGAUAAUUCAAAAAUUAAGAGGGUGCUCUUUUUCAACAGAGAUAAACAAUUAAGGGGGUGAUCAUAAAAAUAUAUUUUUUUUUUUAUUAAUUAUACUAUAAAUACAAUAGAUAGUCUAGCCGUGGAGGAAGUACACAUUAUUUGAUACAAACAUAUUUACUGUCGUUUUUUAAAAUCCUUUUGAAUCUCUUUUAUAGUUUUGUUUUAUUGUUGUUUUAUAAUAGAUGUUAGGAAUUUUGGUUUGUGUUAUAUUAAAAUAAUUGAACGGAUAUGUGAAAAAAGUGGGAAAAUUUAGGAAGUGAGAAAAAUAUAAAAGAUAAUGGAAGGUUGUAUGAAUAAUGUAAGGUUGUAUGUGUUAUGUGAAUUGAAAUGUUGAGUUUGUUGAAGUUGUGCGAGGUUAUUUGUUAUGAGUUAUGUGGUUUGUGAGUGGAGUUGAAGGUGAUUAAGGUUAAAGAAGUUAAGAGGGAGAUUAACGUUAAAUAAGUCGAGAAGGAGAUAAAGGAGUUUGGAGGUAAAAGAGUCGAGUAGGAGUUUUAAAGGUUAGAGUCGAGAAGGAGUUAAAGGUUAGAGUCGAGAAGGAGUUAAAGGUUAGAGUCGAGAAGGAGUUAAAGGUUAGAGUCGAGAAGGAGUUAAAGGUUAGAGUCGAGAAGGAGUUAAGGGUUAGAGUCGAGAAGGAGUUAAGGGUUAGAGUCGAGAAGGAGUUAAGGGUUAGAGUCGAGAAGGAGUUAAGGGUUAGAGUCGAGAAGGAGUUAAGGGUUAGAGUCGAGAAGGAGUUAAGGGUUAGAGUCGAGAAGGAGUUAAGGGUUAGAGUCGAGAAGGAGUUAAGGGUUAGAGUCGAGAAGGAGUUAAGGGUUAGAGUCGAGAAGGAGUUAAGGGUUAGAGUCGAGAAGGAGUUAAGGGUUAGAGUCGAGAAGGAGUUAAGGGUUAGAGUCGAGAAGGAGUUAAGGGUUAGAGUCGAGAAGGAGUUAAGGGUUAGAGUCGAGAAGGAGUUAAAGGCUAUUAAAGAGGUUGAGAAGGCGUUUAAGGUUAUUAAAGAGGUUGAGAAGGCGUUAAAAGUUUUAAAUAAACUUGAAGAGUUUAUGUAGGAAGUCGAGAAGGAGUUAGACUAUUAUAGUUAAGGUUUUAUAUAGUGAGUCAAGAGGGAAGUUAAGGUUGAAUGGUUGUAUGGUUGAAUGAAAGUACAUUUUUGAUCGAAUUGGAGUUGGAGAAGUAAGAAAGGAUUAAAGGUAGCGACAUUAAAGAUAGUAUUAAGUUUGAAAGGUUGAAUGAAUAGUUGUUGGUUGAAUUGAGAGGGAUUAUGUAGAAGUGGCGGAAUGUAAGUGGUUGUGAGGUUUUUUAGGUAUGUAUGGAAAGAAUUAAUUUAUGAAGGUCAGGUUAGCGUUAUUCUUUUUUGGUAUUAAAUUAUAGACGGAGAAAAAUGUGUGCAAGUGUUGAGGGGGUGUGUUGGAGUUUGUAUAUUAAAUGUAAUGGCAGGCAACACUUGACACUUGAUUAGAUUUCGAAUAUUGGAAUUAUUUUAAAUGUUUUAAAAAAAACAGAUCAUUGUAUUCUCGUAAGAAAAUGUCAGUGACUUCUCAUCUAGACACGGCAUGAAAAACAUGUAAUAGUUUUAUAAAAAAUAUAAAGAUAAAAAUUGUAUAAUGGUGUAAAAGUGUUCGAGCAAUCUGCAAUAUAAUUAUAAUGAAGCA
Molecule: long non-coding RNA, 2633 nt
Organism: Bombyx mori (domestic silkworm)
Lineage: Eukaryota; Metazoa; Arthropoda; Insecta; Lepidoptera; Bombycidae
Exons: 2
Source: RefSeq, a predicted model, not a curated record